This 22-nucleotide microRNA is filed under the name Tribolium castaneum (red flour beetle). RNAcentral describes it as "tca-miR-3836d-3p". Lineage: Eukaryota; Metazoa; Arthropoda; Insecta; Coleoptera; Tenebrionidae. The record is from miRBase by way of RNAcentral.
UCACUGGGCAAAGUAGGCCCUG